This is a long non-coding RNA of Sapajus apella (tufted capuchin), 388 nucleotides long. RefSeq lists it as uncharacterized. Lineage: Eukaryota; Metazoa; Chordata; Mammalia; Primates; Cebidae. The record is from RefSeq and is a predicted model, not a curated record. The transcript is spliced from 3 exons.
UCCCUCUGACCACACCAAAGAGCAUUUAACAUGCAUGAUGGUCUCAGGUCAAGAAUAUGUUAAAUAGUUGACAGCUAUGUGGCCUCUAGCUUUCCACGAGAGAGGAAGUCACUGCCCAUCAUAUAAUGCUUUAAUUUGAGAAACUCAACUGAUGUCUGUGGAGUAGAGAACACAAACGAACAACGUAACAUGGAACUCUUUAACAUGAUAUAUAUACAAAGACUAUUGAGGCAGAGAAAUCAAUAGGAAAAUUUAAAACUAAGGGAGAAGGCAUUUUGAACCAUUCAGCUAAGAAUUUGGUCAGUAUUAAAAAGCCAAUAAUUCCAGAAAAAUCCACCAAGUUAUGUUCAUAGUCUUAGCAGAAUAAAAAUAAGGUUUACUAGCUAAA